Molecule: ribosomal RNA, 253 nt
Filed under: uncultured bacterium
Lineage: Bacteria
Description: partial 16S ribosomal RNA
Rfam family: Bacterial small subunit ribosomal RNA
Source: RNAcentral
UACGUAGGGUGCAAGCGUUGUCCGGAAUUAUUGGGCGUAAAGAGCUCGUAGGCGGCUUGUCGCGUCGGAUGUGAAAACCCGGGGCUCAACCCCGGGCCUGCAUUCGAUACCGGCAGACUAGAGUUCGGUAGGGGAGUCUGGAAUUCCUGGUGUAGCGGUGAAAUGCGCAGAUAUCAGGAGGAACACCGAUGGCGAAGGCAGGUCUCUGGGCAUUAACUGACGCUGAGGAGCGAAAGCAUGGGGAGCGAACAGG